GCACUGUUUGGACGAGGGGCCCCUCUCGGGUUACCGAAUUCAGACAAACUCCGAAUGCCAAUUAAUUUAACUUGGGAGUCAGAACAUGGGUGAUAAGGUCCGUGUUCGAAAGGGAAACAGCCCAGACCACCAGCUAAGGUCCCAAAAUAUAUGUUAAGUGGAAAAGGAUGUGGCGUUGCCCAGACAACUAGGAUGUUGGCUUAGAAGCAGCCAUCAUUUAAAGAGUGCGUAAUAGCUCACUAGUCGAGUGACACUGCGCCGAAAAUGUACCGGGGCUAAACAUAUUACCGAAGCUGUGGAUUGUCCUUUGGACAAUGGUAGGAGAGCGUUCUAAGGGCGUUGAAGCAUGAUCGUAAGGACAUGUGGAGCGCUUAGAAGUGAGAAUGCCGGUGUGAGUAGCGAAAGACGGGUGAGAAUCCCGUCCACCGAUUGACUAAGGUUUCCAGAGGAAGGCUCGUCCGCUCUGGGUUAGUCGGGUCCUAAGCUGAGGCCGACAGGCGUAGGCGAUGGAUAACAGGUUGAUAUUCCUGUACCACCUAUAAUCGUUUUAAUCGAUGGGGGGACGCAGUAGGAUAGGCGAAGCGUGCGAUUGGAUUGCACGUCUAAGCAGUAAGGCUGAGUAUUAGGCAAAUCCGGUACUCGUUAAGGCUGAGC
This 654-nucleotide ribosomal RNA is filed under the name Staphylococcus aureus. RNAcentral's name for it is "partial 23S ribosomal RNA". It matches the Rfam family "Bacterial large subunit ribosomal RNA", at positions 907 to 1561 of the family's 2925-position model. The record is from RNAcentral. Lineage: Bacteria; Bacillati; Bacillota; Bacilli; Caryophanales; Staphylococcaceae.